RNAcentral lists this transfer RNA (72 nucleotides) under Toxocara canis (dog roundworm). It matches the Rfam family "tRNA". From Rfam's summary of the family: Transfer RNA (tRNA) molecules are approximately 80 nucleotides in length. Their secondary structure includes four short double-helical elements and three loops (D, anti-codon, and T loops). The record is from Rfam by way of RNAcentral. Lineage: Eukaryota; Metazoa; Nematoda; Chromadorea; Rhabditida; Toxocaridae.
UGAGCAGUAGCUCAGUUGUAGAGCACCUCCUUCGUAUGCGGGAAGGCCUGGGUUCGACUCCCAGCUGCUUAC